Etheostoma spectabile (orangethroat darter) is the source of this 240-nucleotide long non-coding RNA. RefSeq lists it as uncharacterized. Lineage: Eukaryota; Metazoa; Chordata; Actinopteri; Perciformes; Percidae. The transcript has 4 exons. The record is from RefSeq and is a predicted model, not a curated record.
UGGAGUUUCAGGGUGCUGGGUAGAGGGUCAGGUGCAGGCAGCAACAUGUUCGCUCAUGACAACAUCUGUCUCCACAGAGAGAGCUACCACCUGUGGCAGCGACCCCGGGAAUGUCCAGCGCCUGAGCUGUGAUGAUGGAGUGAUCAGUGUGCAGACAGCACUGUAUGGACAAGGAUACGGUGUGUCCUGCAUUGAGGGAAGACCUUCAGGAAUACUCAGCUUAAGACAGUGCUCUCAAGU